RNAcentral lists this ribosomal RNA (305 nucleotides) under uncultured bacterium. RNAcentral's name for it is "bacterial SSU rRNA". It matches the Rfam family "Bacterial small subunit ribosomal RNA", at positions 334 to 637 of the family's 1533-position model. The record is from RNAcentral.
UAGCCUACGGGGCGCAGCAGUGAGGAAUAUUGGUCAAUGGGCGAGAGCCUGAACCAGCCAAGUCGCGUGAAGGAUGACGGCCCUACGGGUUGUAAACUUCUUUUGUCAGGGAGCAAUUGGGUCCACGCGUGGGCUUAGCGAGAGUACCUGAAGAAAAAGCAUCGGCUAACUCCGUGCCAGCAGCCGCGGUAAUACGGAGGAUGCGAGCGUUAUCCGGAUUUAUUGGGUUUAAAGGGUGCGCAGGCGGGAGAUCAAGUCCGCGGUAAAAUGUCGGGGCUCAACCCCGGCCGGCCGUUGAAACUGGG